UCAAGCUAUCGACUUGGUGAAUUGAGAUUCACCACCCGUAGCCACGUCAACCCCAUUCGCUUCUCCUCAGCUUGCCAACAAACAGAGACCUUGACCACAGAAUUCAGCCACGCCCUUGCAUUAACUUGCAAGGUGUCAUGAACAGGUGAAGACUUCUCACGCUAAAGACACGAAUCCACGGAGCUGUCUUCUCCUUCUGCUGCCACGAACUUUGAAGAAAAGUUGACCAAGAUAGUCAACAGGCGGAGAAGCCGAAGCAUAGAAGAAGACCGUCCCUCAUUUUUCCUUCACCUCACGAUUUCUUUCGUCCAUCAGCAUCUGCAACGAAGAAACAUCUUCAUCCAGACUUUCACAGCUUCGUUUUUGCCUUGCUCCUUGACGCUGGCCGCUUGCACCACCUCGCUGCACCGCCAUCUCGCUUUAUUCUUGUUGCCGACCAGAGACCUCACAGCUUUGUCGUCGUUCUGCUUGCGUCGUCUUGCCACUCCGCCACUAGCUCGCACCACAGCCCGCACCACCGAGGAUUCGAGGCAAGUGGAAGUCCUAUUCUUCUAUACUAUGCGGUGCUUCCGCUACUUGGGAUUCCAUUCGAGGAAUCGACAAAUUUGGGCUCGAAUGCGUCGAGUUGCCGUUGUAUCAUGUUGCUUCUUGUCGGUUAAAGCUAAGUUUGAUCUUGACUCGUGUAGUCGUGUACGGUGACGACCGUCGACACGGUCAAUGUUGGUUUUGGGUUGUAAGGCUGUGAACCGCGUCAACCAAGCUUUCAUCUAGCGAGCUGUCAACGAGCCUUCUUUAGGGGGAUCUAGAUCUACAAUCCGGUCGGAAAUGAUUGCCGCUAAGAUGCCCUUAUUCUUCGAGCUUUCUCCCAACGAGCCAUUAACAAGCCUUCUUCAGGGGGGAUCCAGAUUUGCAGUCUGGUAAUAGAUGACACUAUUUUUGUUGGGUUGUUCAAUGCAUCACCUUAUGUUGGUUUUGGCCAAUUUGAUAGCAAAUCGUUAACCCAUCAAAUUUUGCCAAGUUAGAGGUGAUUGCCACCAAGAUGCCCUUGUUCUUCAAGACAUAUUUGAAACUUUUAUCUCUUCCCCUAUGCUAUUCUCCUGAUAGGCCCAGAAAGAGGAAAUGUUGAGAUACACCAAAUGGCUCUGUCAACCGAGCUUUCUUCUAGCGAGCCGUCAACAAGCCUUCUUUAAGGGGCAUCUAAAUUUGCAGUCCGGUAAGAGAUGACUCUAUUUUUAUUGGGUUGUUCAAUGCAUCAACUUUUGUUGUUGUUCUGGCCAAUUCAACAGCAAAUGGAGGUAAGAGAUGACUAUUUUGGGUUGUUCAAUUCGUCAACUUUUGAUGUUGUUCUCAUCGAUUUGACAACAAAUGAUUAACUCCAUCAAUUUUUUCCGGGUUGGAGAUGAUUACCGCUAAGAUGCUCUUAUUCUUCGAGCUUUCUUCUAGUGAGCCGUUAACGAGCCUUCGUCAGGGAGGAUCCAAAUUUGCAAUCUGGUUGGAGAUGAUUGCCACCAAGCUACCCUUGUUCUUGAGACAUUUGAAGCUUUUACCUCUUCCAAGCUCUUCUUUCGACAGGCCUAGAAAUGUCAGUUUUAGCACUAGAUUAGAAUUGGGAUAGUCCCAUGAAGGU
Long non-coding RNA from Eucalyptus grandis, 1627 nucleotides. RefSeq lists it as uncharacterized. NCBI's taxonomy places the organism in Eukaryota, Viridiplantae, Streptophyta, Magnoliopsida, Myrtales, Myrtaceae. The transcript has 4 exons. The record is from RefSeq and is a predicted model, not a curated record.